RNAcentral lists this long non-coding RNA (1257 nucleotides) under Anas platyrhynchos platyrhynchos (common mallard). RNAcentral describes it as "lncRNA (ENSAPLG00000021095.1)". The record is from RNAcentral. Lineage: Eukaryota; Metazoa; Chordata; Aves; Anseriformes; Anatidae.
UAAUUGAGGCUAUUAAACAAGUAGGGGAGAGUAUCUCCAAGGGAUUGAAACAGAAUCAGGAACAAGUUUUCGCUGCCCUUGCUCCCUUGCAAAAACCGAUGGGACCUCAUGCAUCAGGACGCCAAGCAUUACGAUGCUAUAGAUGCGGGAUUGCGGGACACAUGAAACGACAGUGCAAAACGGCAAACGUUUGGUGUCCGUCAUGCCGCUCGAAUACGCAUAAUGAAUCCGCAUGCCGCAAAGGAGGACAGGGAAACGGGAAAGCCAGCGGGAAGAGUCGCCCCGCAACGACACAAAAAGCGGCUUUCCCCACCACGGCAGCGACAACAGCAGCACCAAUCGGAGCAACGAACCCUUUUGUCUCCAGCCAGCCACAAGCGGGAGCCUGGGACUGGACUUGGCAACAGCAGUAAAUCUUACAUUAUGGGACUCUAAACCAACAAGAGUUAACUCCGGUGUGAUAGGACCCGUGAAAAUUAACGGCGAGCCCGUGGGUGCCUUGCUUAUCGGAAGAUCAUCUGCCACUUUAAAUGGAAUACAAGUGCUAACAGGACUAAUCGAUAAAGAUUAUACCGGGGAUAUACAAAUAAUUGUUUCGGCUAUGUUUCCGCCGGUGUUUAUUCCAAAGGAGACGCGCAUAGCACAGCUAAUACCACUACCCCAUCUAGCGGCCAGCAUUCCACCUGCAAGAGAAGCGCCGCGCAACAAAGGAGCAUUUGGAUCCACAGGUGGAAUGGCCAUGCUAACGGUGGGACUACAGCAAAGACCACGAAGGCCUGUCACCCUUAAAUACAAUGGGGAAACUAUAAGAGUCAACGCCCUAUUGGAUACUGGGGCUGAUAUAUCAAUCAUCAGCACAGAGAACUGGCCUCAGCACUGGCCAACAGUCGAGACAAGUACAACCAUCAGCGGGGUCGGCGGAAUGACUUUUGCUCGUCGAUCCCCACCCCUACAAUGGACAUUGGGGGACAAAACAGUGGAAUGUACAGUCUCUAUAUUACCGCUCCCGGAUGGAGUGCAUGCCCUGGUAGGUCGCGACAUCCUAGCACAAAUGGGAGUGGUGUUAACCACUGAUCACAUGAAUGCCUGCCCUUUAUAGAUGCGGCCAUUGCUUGGACUUUCCCGAUCCCUAUCAGGUGGAAAACUGAGGAGCCUGUUUGGGUGGAGCAGUGGCCUUUAAAAAGGGAAAGUCUGAUACACGCACAUGAACUGAUAAAGGAGCAGUACCUGCAAGGACACUUACAAUUAUCUACCAGC